GAUGAACGCUGGCGGCGUGCCUAAUACAUGCAAGUCGAGCGAACGGACGAGAAGCUUGCUUCUCUGAUGUUAGCGGCGGACGGGUGAGUAACACGUGGAUAACCUACCUAUAAGACUGGGAUAACUUCGGGAAACCGGAGCUAAUACCGGAUAAUAUUUUGAACCGCAUGGUUCAAAAGUGAAAGACGGUCUUGCUGUCACUUAUAGAUGGAUCCGCGCUGCAUUAGCUAGUUGGUAAGGUAACGGCUUACCAAGGCAACGAUGCAUAGCCGACCUGAGAGGGUGAUCGGCCACACUGGAACUGAGACACGGUCCAGACUCCUACGGGAGGCAGCAGUAGGGAAUCUUCCGCAAUGGGCGAAAGCCUGACGGAGCAACGCCGCGUGAGUGAUGAAGGUCUUCGGAUCGUAAAACUCUGUUAUUAGGGAAGAACAUAUGUGUAAGUAACUGUGCACAUCUUGACGGUACCUAAUCAGAAAGCCACGGCUAACUACGUGCCAGCAGCCGCGGUAAUACGUAGGUGGCAAGCGUUAUCCGGAAUUAUUGGGCGUAAAGCGCGCGUAGCGGUUUUUUAAGUCUGAUGUGAAAGCCCACGGCUCAACCGUGGAGGGUCAUUGGAAACUGGAAAACUUGAGUGCAGAAGAGGAAAGUGGAAUUCCAUGUGUAGCGGUGAAAUGCGCAGAGAUAUGGAGGAACACCAGUGGCGAAGGCGACUUUCUGGUCUGUAACUGACGCUGAUGUGCGAAAGCGUGGGGAUCAAACAGGAUUAGAUACCCUGGUAGUCCACGCCGUAAACGAUGAGUGCUAAGUGUUAGGGGGUUUCCGCCCCUUAGUGCUGCAGCUAACGCAUUAAGCACUCCGCCUGGGGAGUACGACCGCAAGGUUGAAACUCAAAGGAAUUGACGGGGACCCGCACAAGCGGUGGAGCAUGUGGUUUAAUUCGAAGCAACGCGAAGAACCUUACCAAAUCUUGACAUCCUUUGACAACUCUAGAGAUAGAGCCUUCCCCUUCGGGGGACAAAGUGACAGGUGGUGCAUGGUUGUCGUCAGCUCGUGUCGUGAGAUGUUGGGUUAAGUCCCGCAACGAGCGCAACCCUUAAGCUUAGUUGCCAUCAUUAAGUUGGGCACUCUAAGCUGACUGCCGGUGACAAACCGGAGGAAGGUGGGGAUGACGUCAAAUCAUCAUGCCCCUUAUGAUUUGGGCUACACACGUGCUACAAUGGACAAUACAAAGGGCAGCGAAACCGCGAGGUCAAGCAAAUCCCAUAAAGUUGUUCUCAGUUCGGAUUGUAGUCUGCAACUCGACUACAUGAAGCUGGAAUCGCUAGUAAUCGUAGAUCAGCAUGCUACGGUGAAUACGUUCCCGGGUCU
Molecule: ribosomal RNA, 1371 nt
Filed under: uncultured bacterium
Lineage: Bacteria
Description: bacterial SSU rRNA
Rfam family: Bacterial small subunit ribosomal RNA
Source: RNAcentral